Long non-coding RNA from Chenopodium quinoa (quinoa), 314 nucleotides. RefSeq lists it as uncharacterized. The record is from RefSeq and is a predicted model, not a curated record. The transcript has 3 exons. Lineage: Eukaryota; Viridiplantae; Streptophyta; Magnoliopsida; Caryophyllales; Amaranthaceae.
GUUGAAGUGACAAAUUGUGUCAUAGAUGGAUGGGCAAGGUUUCUUAAUCAUAAAAAGCCGAGAAACAAGAUUUAUUUCUCAACAGUGCUUCAUCACAUUAUGUGCACAAAUAGAGUUUGUCGAGAAGGAUCAUCAAUGAAGACAAGAAUUAAUGCCUUCAUAGAAAGAAUUGACAAUGAACUGAAGUUGAAUAAAAUUGACAGCAUUGUUGGAUAUAAACAGGUCUUCUUCCCAGUAUCAACUUCUCAACAUUUUUUUCUGUUGUGCGUCAAUCAUAUAGAAGACAAAAUUCAUAUAAUUGACAAUAGAAAACU